Molecule: long non-coding RNA, 273 nt
Filed under: Elaeis guineensis (African oil palm)
Lineage: Eukaryota; Viridiplantae; Streptophyta; Magnoliopsida; Arecales; Arecaceae
Description: long non-coding RNA (EGUI_LNC051909)
Source: RNAcentral
UGUGCCAGCCUAUCUGGAUCAAUCACCAUCCUCAUGAUGAUUCUAUGAUUGGGAGUAUUUAGGAAUCAAAUACAUGUCUCUAAUUCUCAGCUCUUUGAAAAUAUAUAUCAAAGCUAAUUCCUUGGACGAUUCAAGGACACAUCAUAUUUGAAUGAAAAAUAAAAUUUUUUUAUUGAUCAAAUCAAUGUAUUAAGUACAAAAUUAUAUCUUAGAGAUUAUAAUGUGUCAGCCAUAUUGGCUUCUAGGACACACAUCUAACAAUCUCCCACUUGG